GGUUGGAGUGUGUGUACGGACUCUGCUUGGCGGAGUUGCUCUGGUGUACUUCCCCAACAUCAGAUCAAUGACCCCGGGCAGGGCCCUACGCACACCCCGGCAGUUU
This is a regulatory RNA element of Corynebacterium durum F0235, 106 nucleotides long. It matches the Rfam family "mraW RNA". Lineage: Bacteria; Bacillati; Actinomycetota; Actinomycetes; Mycobacteriales; Corynebacteriaceae. The record is from Rfam.